RNAcentral lists this ribosomal RNA (460 nucleotides) under uncultured bacterium. RNAcentral's name for it is "partial 16S ribosomal RNA". It matches the Rfam family "Bacterial small subunit ribosomal RNA", at positions 338 to 795 of the family's 1533-position model. The record is from RNAcentral.
CCUACGGGAGGCAGCAGUGAGGAAUAUUGGUCAAUGGGCGCGAGCCUGAACCAGCCAAGUCGCGUGAAGGAUGACUGCCCUACGGUUUGUAACCUUCUUUUAUAAAGGAAUAAAGUUAGGCACGUGUGCCUUUUUGCAUGUACCCUAUGAAUAAGCAUCGGCUAACUCCGUGCCAGCAGCCGCGGUAAUACGGAGGAUCCGAGCGUUAUCCGGAUUUAUUGGGUUUAAAGGGAGCGUAGGUGGGUUGGUAAGUCAGUUGUGAAAGUUUGCGGCUCAACCGUAAAAUUGCAGUUGAUACUGGCAGUCUUGAGUACGGUGGAGGUAGGCGGAAUUCGUGGUGUAGCGGUGAAAUGCAUAGAUAUCACGAAGAACUCCGAUUGCGAAGGCAGCUUACUAAACUACAACUGACAUUGAUGCUCGAAAGUGUGGGGAUCAAACAGGAUUAGAUACCCGUGUAGUC